GAUGAACGCUAGCGGGAGGCCUAACACAUGCAAGCCGAGCGGUAUUGUUUCUUCGGAAAUGCGAGAGCGGCGUACGGGUGCGUAACACGUGUGCAACCUGCCUUUAUCUGGGGGAUAGCCUUUCGAAAGGAAGAUUAAUACUCCAUAAUAUAUUGAACGGCAUCGUUUAAUAUUGAAAGCUCCGGCGGAUAGAGAUGGGCACGCGCAAGAUUAGCUAGUUGGUGAGGUAACGGCUCACCAAGGCGAUGAUCUUUAGGGGGCCUGAGAGGGUGAUCCCCCACACUGGUACUGGGACACGGACCAGACUCCUACGGGAGGCAGCAGUGCGGAAUAUUGGUCAAUGGGUGCAAGCCUGAACCAGCCAUCCCGCGUGAAGGACGACUGCCCUAUGGGUUGUAAACUUCUUUUGUAUAGGGAUAAACCUACCCUCGUGAGGGUAGCUGAAGGUACUAUACGAAUAAGCACCGGCUAACUCCGUG
RNAcentral lists this ribosomal RNA (479 nucleotides) under uncultured bacterium. Its description in RNAcentral is "partial 16S ribosomal RNA". It matches the Rfam family "Bacterial small subunit ribosomal RNA", at positions 28 to 507 of the family's 1533-position model. The record is from RNAcentral.